This 2034-nucleotide ribosomal RNA is filed under the name Triticum aestivum (bread wheat). RNAcentral's name for it is "partial small subunit ribosomal RNA". Lineage: Eukaryota; Viridiplantae; Streptophyta; Magnoliopsida; Poales; Poaceae. The record is from RNAcentral.
AUGGGGAUGGAUCAGGCGGAGGAGGGGCGGAGGAUGGCGAGCCUGCAGGCGGCGCGGAGCGCACUGCGGGCGGGGGUGGAGCGGUCGCGGGCGCUGAGCCACGCGCUGGCGCGGUCGGGGGCCAGGGUCGGGGAGAUCCAGGCGCGGCUGGCGGCCACGGAGGCCGGGGUGCGCCCGAUCCGCGCGCCGCGGGACGCGCUCGAGGGGGCCGGCCCCAACAUCGACCGCGCCGUGGGGCCCGCCGCCGCCGUCCUCAAGGUGUUCGACGCCGUGCACGGCCUCGAGCCGCCGCUCCUCGCCGGGGCCGCCGCCAGGGAGGACCUCCCGGGCUACCUCGCCCUCGUCGCCCGCCUCGAGGAGGCGCUCCGCUUCCUCGCCGACAACUGCGGCCUCGCCGUCGACUGGCUCUCCGACAUCGUCGACUACCUCGGCAAGCGCAGCCUCGCCGACCCGCGCUUCGUGGCCGGCCUCGCCGAGGCGCUCUCCGGGCUCAAGGGCGUCCCCGCCGCCGGCCUCGACGCCGGGCUCCUCACCGCCGCCCUCGACGUGCUCGAGGCCGAGUUCUGCCGCCUCCUCGCGGAGCACUCUGCUCCGCUCGCUAUGCAGGAGGACGCGGACAAGUCCAAGGCUGCCGCCUCCAUCGCGCCGCCCAGGAUCCCCGCCGCCGCCGUGCAGAAGCUCGGCCUCACCCUUGACCGCCUUGCCGCUAAUGGGCGGCUCAGCUACUGCGUCGCCGCGUAUGCCGACGCUCGUGGGGACACGGUGAGCGCCAGCCUCCACGCGCUCGGCCUGGAUUACCUGCAGGACCAGACGCAGGAUGCUCAGGCGCUGAGCCCGAGCGUCGAGCUCUGGGGCCGGCAUUUGGAGUUCGCGGUGCGCCACCUAUUAGAAGCUGAGCGGAAGCUCUGUGUUGCUGUCUUCGAGCGCCGGCCAGAAGCCGCGGCCGCUUGCUUCGCGGACAUUGCGGCGCGCGCCGGAAUUCUUGAUUUCCUCAAGUUUGGCCGCGCCGUGGCUGAUGCCAAGAAGGACCCCAUCAAGCUCCUGAGGCUGCUUGAUGUGUUUGAUUCCCUCAGUAAGCUCAGAUUGGACUUCAACCGGUUGUUUGGUGGAAAGGCAUGCCUGGAGAUCCAAAGCAGGACCAGAGAGCUUGUGAAGAGGGUGGUGGAUGGUUCUGUUGAGAUUUUUGAGGAGUUGCUGGUGCAGGUGGAGCUGCAGCGCAAAAUGCCACCCCCAUCUGACGGUGGAGUGCCAGGCCUGGUUACCUUCGUCCCCAAGUACUGCAACCAGCUCCUUGGGGAGCAAUAUCGGUCUGUGCUCACACAAGUGCUUACCAUCCACCGCAGCUGGCGCAAGGAGGCGUUCAAUGACAAGAUGCUCGUCGACGCAGUGCACAAUAUUGUCAAGGCCCUGGAGGCCAACUUCGACACAUGGGCAAAGGCGUAUGAGGAUAAGACGCUGUCAUCUCUCUUCAUGAUGAACACCCACUCGCACUUCUUCAAGCACCUGAAGAGUACCAAGAUGGGGGAGAUCUUAGGCGAUGAAUGGCUCCGGGAGCAUGAGCAGUACAAGGACUACUACUCAGCCCUGUUUCUAAGGGAGAGCUGGGGAACGCUUGCGCCCCUGCUGAGCAGGGAGGGUUUGAUCUUGUUCUCCAAGGGUCAGGCUACAGCAAGGGACUUGGUGAAGCAGCGGCUCAAAUCGUUCAACGCCAGCUUUGAUGAGAUGUACCAGAAGCAGUCUGCGUGGAUCAUACCAGACAAGGAUCUGCAGCAGAGGGUGUGCCACCUUGUGGUGCAGGCUAUAGUGCCUGUUUACCGUAGCUUCAUGCAGAACUACGGGCCGCUUGUUGAGCAGGACAUCAGCGCGAGCAAGUACGUCAAGUACAGCGCUGAAGGCCUUGAUAAGAUGCUUAGCACCCUCUUCAUGCCGAAGCUUAGGACGAGGAGGACUGCAAGCAUGCAGAUCAGAAGCUCAAAUGGCAAGAUUGCCAGUGCAGUGACAGGGCUGCAACGGAGUGCUUCAACAUUGCAAUAG